Brassica napus (rape) is the source of this 897-nucleotide long non-coding RNA. RefSeq lists it as uncharacterized. The record is from RefSeq and is a predicted model, not a curated record. The transcript is spliced from 2 exons. Lineage: Eukaryota; Viridiplantae; Streptophyta; Magnoliopsida; Brassicales; Brassicaceae.
UUAAGAGCAUGUUUAUCAGCAGCCCUUAAGCUGGUAUCUUAGGUCUAGUUGCAUUAAAAAUAAAAGAAAAACAUGAAUUAAACUAAGUUCCGUCCCUUAAUUAAGGGAGCGAAGGCACGUCCCUUACGAGCCACGUGUCUAUUGUUCAUUGGAUUGAGGAGAAGUGGGUCUGUCGGUUUGGUCUCUUUUCUUUUUUUCCUUCUUUUUCUUUUCCUUCGCUCCUCUCUGCGUUCGUCGAUUUCUCUUCUUCAAGGAGCUUCUCCUCAACGAAACGUCGGCGCUCCCGAAGGCUCUUGUCGAUGAUGGAAAUCGGCGUCCCCUCUAUCAGUUUCUGUCUUCGACCAAGAAAAACGACGAGAUCUAAAACUCGUGGUGGCUGUCGGAGACGAAGGAGAACGGUGACUGUUUCAAGCGAAUCGAAAGGUCAAACCUUUCUCUCUGCCAGACGAAACCCCCCGAGAUUUUUUAUAAAGAUUGGAAGAACAAGAGGCAUGCUAAGGUUAAGGGAGGAUGAAGAAACUACAGAGUGAUGGUUUCUCGGGCACCGUUGCAUUGUCUUGUGAUAGUAUCUCAAACACAUACCAAUUGUUAAUCAAGGUAAAAGCUAUAGUUGAAGUGAAGUGGUGAAAGCACCGUGAUUUGAUAAAUGGUGAAAGGUUUGUGAUUUUCAGAAGAAGAGUAUAGUUGUUGUUGUUGUAGUCUUGUGUAGUCAGUCACGAGAGAUGUAGUUGUUGUGUGUGUGUAGUCAUGAGAAAUGUAUGUGUGUGUGUGUCACGAGAGAUGUAGUUGUUGUGUGUGUGUUCUCGUUGUAGUCUUGUGUCACAAGACACCCUUUUAAUUCACGAGACACACUUGUAAUUCAUAAACAAACUUUAUAAAUCAGAUACCAUUCUUCUC